Molecule: small RNA, 174 nt
Filed under: Marmota monax (woodchuck)
Lineage: Eukaryota; Metazoa; Chordata; Mammalia; Rodentia; Sciuridae
Description: 7SK RNA
Rfam family: 7SK RNA
About the family: 7SK was discovered as an abundant small nuclear RNA in the mid-70s but a possible function has only recently been suggested.
Source: Rfam by way of RNAcentral
GGAUGUGAGGGCCAUCUGGCUGCGACAUCUGUCACCCCAUUGAUCGCCAGGGUUGAUUCGGCUGAUCUGGCUGGCUAGGCGGGUGUCCCCUUCCUCCCUCACCGCUCCAUGUGCGUCCCUCCCGAAGCUCGGUCGAAGAGGACGACCUUCCCCGAUAGAGGAGGACCGUUCUUC